AGUUGUGGCUUAAUGGUAGAGGGCCUGCCUAGCAUGUGUGAGGCACUGGGUUCGAAUCUCAGAACUG
RNAcentral lists this transfer RNA (67 nucleotides) under Marmota monax (woodchuck). Its description in RNAcentral is "tRNA.Ala". Lineage: Eukaryota; Metazoa; Chordata; Mammalia; Rodentia; Sciuridae. The record is from RNAcentral.